CAGGGGGAGACUCAAGCUCCUGUACAUCUUCUUCAAUAUUAUAAAGACCUAUGGAUCAGUGUUUUAUUUGGAGACGAUGUAGAAGAAGAAGACAACAACAACAAAGAAGAAGAAGAUCAUCUUGCGGUUUGCCCACCUUUCACAGCCACAGAAUUGAAGAAAGCAGGUAUUCGAUGUAUCUGUGCAAAUGAUCUUUCCAAAGGCAUCCGCUUUGAGUCAUCCAUCUUAUCAGGAAUGUUAUUCCUUCCAAAACUAAUCAACGAAUGAUGGACUGUGUACCUUUUUCAUAACCUAGUUGCUUAUGAAUAUGCAUGCAGCUUACAAAAUAGAUCCCAAAACAGAUCCUUUGGGAUCUCAUCUUACUUGAAUUUCAUGUGUAUGUUAAUUAACGGAGAGGAAGAUGUUAAGGAGCUGCGAGCCAGAGGAGUAAUCCAGAUCAACAUCGCUGCUGGCGAUGAUCAACUCAUUAAAUUCUUGAGAGACAUAACAGCACCUACUGAUUCCAAUCCUCAAGCUAUUAGGAAUGUCAAACGACAGAUUUCUACUUACUUCAGAAGUAAACGCUUCCCUCUAGUAGUUGCCCGUGCUGAAAUGAAGCAAAGGUAUUUUAGUGGUCCUUGGAGUUUCCUUGUGUUCCUUGCUGUUAUUUUCACGNNNNNNNNNNNNNNNNNNNNNNNNNNNNNNNNNNNNNNNNNNNNNNNNNNNNNNNNNNNNNNNNNNNNNNNNNNNNNNNNNNNNNNNNNNNNNNNNNNNNNNNNNNNNNNNNNNNNNNNNNNNNNNNNNNNNNNNNNNNNNNNNNNNNNNNNNNNNNNNNNNNNNNNNNNNNNNNNNNNNNNNNNNNNNNNNAAAAACUUAUUUGUAAAAAUGACUUGAUAUCAUUCAUAAAAACCUAUGUCUUUCUGUAACGCUUUCUGCUUUUGCUAUACUUCUUGUAUGGGGCAUGUUUUUCACCCUUUGUUUGAUGAAAUUUAGUACCUUAUCAAAGAAUCUUAUAGAAAUACUGAUGAGUUUACUUGAUGAGAACUCGUGGAAUUGAAUUCGUUGAUCAACUGAUAGUCAUGUUUUGAUCUCGAACAGUUCAUAGAGCAGUCAUGAUUUGUAUUUGCCAAUUCAUUUUUCUUGUUCAGAAAGAUGAUGAGAAAUUUACAGCAGAUGAAAGACCAAUGUCGAUGGCUAUCACAUUUCACAGACCAGUUUGCUCAUCUUCUUUCUGUGGAUUAUAGGGACUCGGCGAAUUGAGGAGCUCCUAAGUCGUGCUCUUAUUUCAUGAUACAGUUCAUGAACCAGUCACUGCAGACAAUGCUUCAUCCAUGCAAGCGACGAAUAUGGUUUUAAAUUCAUCUUUCACUUGAUUGACUCCACGUGCCUACACAAUAGAUGCUCAAGAAAGGGAAGCCAAAUGUCUCUCUAUACACAGCGCUCCUGGAAGGGAAAGAUCACAUUGGAUAUUAUGUACGCAGCCUUACUUACAUUCCUGCACUUGAACCUGUGACCUCCUGGUCACACGAUGACAUCUUUUACCAUAGUGCGAUGGCUCCUCAUCUCCAACAAAUGACGUAAGGAGUCAAAAGAAAAGACUCGAAUGAUAUGAUCCUCCGUCGCCCCCAAAAUGAAAAAGGCCAUCUUGUUGUUUUUGGUCUGUAAAGAUGUGUUGUUAGGUGCUCCGUUUUACUUUCCCACUAAAUCUGUGCUAGAGAAAUAGUUGUUGAUACACCAACUAUUAAUGUUGUAUUAUUGAAUCGUGGAGGUUCAUUUAGUACUAUUAUGUACAUCCUAAUCCUAGUGGCUUCCAAAUAACUCCCUGAAGAAACAUGCAAUUUGCUUGCGCAAAGCUUUGGCUGUUCAAGAGAUAAAAACAGCAGUUGUAGUCAUGCGCUAAAGGGAAACCCAGCUCGGUUGCUUAAGGUCCAUGCUAUGUGAAUGGUUCGAGGCAGGGUUGGACUACAAGGAUCUAUCGUACGCAGUGUUUAUCCUAUAUAGUAGCUAUCGUUUGGGUGAAGAUCUAGAGGAAGGUUAGUUUUCUUUUUAAUUUGCUGUGAUUUGAUGAAUAUGGAGUGACUCCUGUUGGUGGGAUUUCACUGCAUAUUUUGUUGUUUUCAUUUUAUAAACGAAGAGACGGAAGAGAACAAUCAAUAAAGAAUCAAAUGUCAAGCAUAUAUUAUGGCCUCAGUAAAAUAUUGGAGCCUGCACUGACCAUGUGAUGCUCACUCUCACCCAUUAUCACUUUUGGGGGAAGCAAAGAAAUGCUUGAAGGUAGAUCCUUCAAAUUCUAUCACUAUAUGGGAUGACCUUGUGAAGCAGUUCCUCAUACUAUUCUUCUUGUCAGACAAAACUGCAAAGUUACGAGUAAGAUUUUGAGUUUUAAGUAAAAGCUAAAUGAUAACUUGUUUUAUGCAUGGCAAAGAUUCAAAUCCCAUAUCCGAGAUUGUCCACAUCAUCAAUAGACCAAUGAGGUAUUAAUUUAUACUUUUGUUUAUGAUCUUCACCAUAAAAUGAAAAAUUUGUUAGAUUCAGCUGCAGGUGGUAAAGCAUUGGAGAAAAUGUAUAAUCAGCUAUCACCGUGUUUAACCAAAUUGUAUAAGGUAAUCUCAAAUAUAAAGGUGAUAUGUCCCUAUGUGUGGUGAAGAAGCUUGUGGGAAUGAUUGAGGUUAAUAGUGUCACAACUUAGUUUUUUAGUUGGCCUCUCUUCAUGAUGAAACAAUGACAUAAUUUAGUAAAUCGAGUGUGAAUCAACUAUAGGUGCAAGAAUAUAGUUCAAAAGGCAUUGUCUUGAUGUGAUAUUUGUCGUAUUAGUAGUUACAGUAAAGACUCAUCUGGAGCAAACCUAGAAUUAGUUUUUUUUUAUGCAAUACAUAGAAAGGUAAUAAGAAAAAUGGUAAUGCCUAUAACUGCAAUUGGUACAGUCAGCCCAAUUAAUUAUAGGAUAAUAAUCAUCUUAGGCUCAACGGUUUCAACAAUAAUAGAACACACAGAUUGGUAAUAUUAAGGAAACAUUGAAAAAGAUCUCAGCCAAUUAGAACAAAUCGCUGCAAAUAAUAAAAAUCAGCAACACGCUAAGAAGAAUCUAGAGUCACAGUUGGGGCACUUAGCUUAAUCUAAUAACAUAAGACCUCAAAGGGGCUUGCCAAUUGACAUAGAGAAUCCAAAGCAGGCAAUGACAAUUACCUUGACAAGUUGUAGAGACUUGAUUUACAAACCUCCAAAGAAAAAGUAGAAUGAUAAGAAGAUAUAGUCCAAUAAAAAGUAAUUCCUUCUACACUUACCGAUCUUAUGAUAAAGGAACUUUAUCACAAGUUCUUUGGUCCCCGUGUUGUUUCCAUUGGUCCACACUUCCACAAAUUACCUCAUGUUAAACCCAUGGAGAAUUUCAAACGGAAAGCAGUGAGGGAAUUAGCAGAAAGAGUAAAAAACGAUGUAUCCAUUGAACAGGUGUAUGCAAGUGUAGAAGAACACUUGCUCAAAACUCGGAAAUGUUACUCUCCUCAAUUCGAACAAACGAGUGACCCUAUGUGAUGUCAGAUGAUGUUCCUCGACGCCUGCUUUAUUAUUGAAUUCAUCUGCAACGACAAUAUAAUUACUAGUGGCAGGAGGAGCUGGUUGAAUAUGAAGAAACAUGAUAGAGAUUUGGUGCGUCAUGACCUAUUAUUGUAUGAUAAUCAAUUGCCUUUCCAAGUCAUAGAUGCGCUAGCACGUGCAUUUAGAUGUGACGAGUUUACAUUGCACCUUUUAACAAGAAGGUUCCUCCAAAUGCCAUUGUUAAACAUAUCUUCUGCUCCAACUCCUACGUAUCUUGAUUAUAUCAAGGGUGUCCCUUGUCUUCAACAUCAGCAGGGGGAGGCUCAAGCUCCUGUACAUCUUCUUCAAUAUUAUAGAGACCUAUGGAUCAGUGUUUUAUUUGGAGAUGAUGCAGAAGAAGAAGACAACAACGACAACAAAGAAGAAGAAGAUCAUCUUGCGGUGUUCCCACCUUUCACAGACACAGAGUUGAAGAAAGCAGGUAUUCGUGUAUCUGUGCAAGUGAUCUUUCAACAGGCAUCCGCUUUGAGUCAUCCAUCUUAUCAGGAAUGUUAUUCCUUCCAAAACUAACCAUCGACGAAUGGACUGUGAAACUUUUUUCUAACCUAGUUGCUUACGAAUAUGUGUGCAGCUUACAAAAUAUAUCCCUUGGGAUCUUAUCUUACUUGAAUUUCAUGUGCAUGUUAAUAAAUGGAGAGGAAGAUCUUAAGGAGCUGCGAGCCAGAGGAGUAAUCCAGAUCAACAUCGUUGCUGGUGAUGAUCAAUUGAUUAGAUUCUUGAGAAACAUAGCACAACCUACUGAGUCCAAUCCUCAAGCUAUUAGGAAUGUCAAACGACAGAUUUCUACUUAUUUCAGAAGUAAACGCUUCUCCCUAGUAGUUGCCUGUGCUGAAAUGAAGCAAAGGUACUUUAGUGGUCCUUGGAGUUUUCUUGUGUUCCUUGCUGUUAUUUUCACGGUUGGUAUGACUGUAAUUCAGACUGUGCUCACAGGCAUUCAG
Molecule: long non-coding RNA, 4514 nt
Filed under: Capsicum annuum
Lineage: Eukaryota; Viridiplantae; Streptophyta; Magnoliopsida; Solanales; Solanaceae
Description: long non-coding RNA (CANN_LNC007532)
Source: RNAcentral